UCAAAACUGAAGGUAAAAUACAAGAAGACGCUGAUAAGAAAAGUGACACUGAGAUCAAAUUGGACGGGAAAGAUCCAGAAGAAAAUGUUGUGACUGAAGAAAUGCCUAAGAUAGGAGAAAAAGUCGAAGAAGAACAAGUACCUUCGUCUGGAAAACCAGAUUCCAAACCUGGAAAUGUUGGGGUAGAUGAUGAGACACAGGAUAAGCCAGAAAGCAUCACUGAAGCGGCCAAUGGAGCUGAAACUAAUGACGUCCAAGAGAGUAGUGGCAUAUUUAAUUUGCAGGUGAAUAUAGAAG
RNAcentral lists this long non-coding RNA (297 nucleotides) under Olea europaea (common olive). RNAcentral describes it as "long non-coding RNA (OEUR_LNC004575)". The record is from RNAcentral. Lineage: Eukaryota; Viridiplantae; Streptophyta; Magnoliopsida; Lamiales; Oleaceae.